Molecule: ribosomal RNA, 465 nt
Filed under: uncultured bacterium
Lineage: Bacteria
Description: partial 16S ribosomal RNA
Rfam family: Bacterial small subunit ribosomal RNA
Source: RNAcentral
GACGAACGCUGGCGGCGUGCUUAACACAUGCAAGUCGAACGGAAAGGCCCUGCUUGCAGGGUACUCGAGUGGCGAACGGGUGAGUAACACGUGGGUGAUCUGCCCUGCACUUCGGGAUAAGCCUGGGAAACUGGGUCUAAUACCGGAUAGGAGCCAUUUUUAGUGUGAUGGUUGGAAAGUUUUUUCGGUGUAGGAUGAGCUCGCGGCCUAUCAGCUUGUUGGUGGGGUAAUGGCCUACCAAGGCGGCGACGGGUAGCCGGCCUGAGAGGGUGGACGGCCACAUGGGGACUGAGAUACGGCCCAGACUCCUACGGGAGGCAGCAGUGGGGAAUAUUGCACAAUGGGCGCAAGCCUGAUGCAGAGACGCCGCGUGGGGGAUGACGGCCUUCGGGUUGUAAACUCCUUUCGCUAGGGACGAAGCUUUUUGUGACGGUACCUAGAUAAGAAGCACCGGCUAACUACGUG